RNAcentral lists this transfer RNA (75 nucleotides) under Fimbriimonas sp. RNAcentral's name for it is "tRNA-Thr". It matches the Rfam family "tRNA". Rfam says of the family: Transfer RNA (tRNA) molecules are approximately 80 nucleotides in length. Their secondary structure includes four short double-helical elements and three loops (D, anti-codon, and T loops). Further hydrogen bonds mediate the characteristic L-shaped molecular structure. tRNAs have two regions of fundamental functional importance: the anti-codon, which is responsible for specific mRNA codon recognition, and the 3' end, to which the tRNAs corresponding amino acid is attached (by aminoacyl-tRNA synthetases). tRNAs cope with the degeneracy of the genetic code in two manners: having more than one tRNA (with a specific anti-codon) for a particular amino acid; and 'wobble' base-pairing, i.e. permitting non-standard base-pairing at the 3rd anti-codon position. RNAcentral also lists the same sequence under 2 other names. The record is from RNAcentral. Lineage: Bacteria; Bacillati; Armatimonadota; Fimbriimonadia; Fimbriimonadales; Fimbriimonadaceae.
GCCGAUGUAGCUCAGUGGCAGAGCAAGUCUUUCGUAAAGAUUAGGUCGCGGGUUCGAUUCCCAUCAUCGGCUCCA